This 333-nucleotide long non-coding RNA is filed under the name Homo sapiens (human). RNAcentral's name for it is "LNC_000552". The record is from RNAcentral. Lineage: Eukaryota; Metazoa; Chordata; Mammalia; Primates; Hominidae.
GUUUCCUGCAUGGGGUGGCUGAGGGGUUUCUCGAGGGCGGCCAUGUUGUUGGGCAUGUCCGGGGGGUGGGAGAGCUGGGGGGGCCCGUGCAUGAAGUCAUUCAUGGAUGUCCCUCCAGGGUUCCCGUGGGGGAAGUCAAAGUUGCCAUGGCCUUGGUAGUUGUUGCCUUGGCUGCUGUAGUCGUUGGAGUUGGUGCCCCCUGGGGGAGGCGGGAGGGGAUAGGGGGACGGGCCGGGGCCCAGGGCUGCGAUCAUCUCCAUGACAUUGGGCAUGAUCAUCUGGCUGGGACUCAUGGUCUUGAACCGCUUGGAGGGGAUGCCAUCAGGGUCGUCC